AUGCUGCUCGACUUCAAAUAUACAUCGACUCGUAUACAGUCUCUGAUGUAAACGAAGCUUUUGACCGAAAGAAAUUGCGAAUUUUUUACGUUAGCAAUCUACCAACUUGUAAAAGCGAGCUGUUGCAGCAAUUUUUGCGAUCAAAUUAUAUAUAUAAAAUUUGGAAUAGUGCUCAUCUAAAAAAUCCAACCUCAUAUCAACCCGGAUAAUAAUGGCAGGGUAUUGAAAGAUGACAAAUACCAAGUUAUGUAGGAGAUUCGCUCAAAACUCAAUCAGAAACUGAUGGAUAAGGUAUUGGAUAUUGGUGACAAUAGACUAGAGUAACUGUAGUAGCGACGAUGAAGAUAACGAAAAUAUCGACGACAAUGAGGAAAAUUAUAAGAACGAUUAAAUAUUUUUCUUUGACAUGUAAUAA
Molecule: long non-coding RNA, 415 nt
Organism: Bombyx mori (domestic silkworm)
Lineage: Eukaryota; Metazoa; Arthropoda; Insecta; Lepidoptera; Bombycidae
Exons: 2
Source: RefSeq, a predicted model, not a curated record